This 1464-nucleotide long non-coding RNA is filed under the name Citrus x clementina. RNAcentral describes it as "Citrus clementina (C. clementina) long non-coding RNA (CCLE_LNC001618)". The record is from RNAcentral. Lineage: Eukaryota; Viridiplantae; Streptophyta; Magnoliopsida; Sapindales; Rutaceae.
CCGACCAAUGUGGUCCAGGUAUGCACUAUUAAGCUGGUCCCAAGUAUUGAAAAUGAAUAUCUAAAUAUGUCUGGGCAUGGCACUAAAUACCAAGAACUCGAAUCUAUGUUUGGUUUUUUAAUAAAUAAAAGAAUAAAAGAAAGAAUAUAUUUAUACAAAAUUACAAAUCCAAAAUCCAAAAUAAACCCAAAAUCCCUAGUACACACCGAAACAAGAUGACACACCUGUGCGCCCACUGCCGCACCUCCAACACUCCGAGCCAGUAGCCACCAUGUCGCACCUCCACGAAGGUCCCUCUACGUGUCUGCAUCAUCUCUUCUCAAUUCUCAGUUGCUAGCCUUGGUGCGUGACUUCUCUCCAUUCUCCACCCUCAUAACUCACCUUCUUAGCCUACAACCAUGUUUACACAGUCGACUUCACUGUCACCUUCUCAGCCACCAUUGCUCUGCUAUCACAACCAACAGGUAUUAACUUUUUUCCUACUAAAAAAAUGAUGAAAUUAUUGUUGUUGUUAGGUGUUAUAUACAUGCUUUUUGUUUUUCUUGGAUGCUGUACUUGGAUGAUUAUUUUUUAUAAUAAUAAACAUAUGUAAUAGGAGCUAAAUUUAAGUUAUUGUUAACCACUGAGUUAAUUUGUUACAUAAUAUUUAUAAUUAUGUAAUAUUUUUGCUUGGAAGAAGGUAAUUUUAGAUGAUGAUUAUUGGCCACAAGCGUCAAGCAGCCCAACAUGAAGUUGUUAUUUACUUAUUUUACAUGGAGUAUUUUGAGACUCUUUUAUGAAUUAUUUUGUUAGUUGUUAGACAUUUUGGAAUUUUCAUAUGUUAUACCGAUAAUUAGCAUCAUGAUUAUGAACUAUGAUAAACUAUUUAGAUUUAUUUGGAGAUUAUUAUGUUGUUGAAUUUAAAAUUUUGAUAGAGAUUGAAUGAAUUUAAGCAGUAGAAAGUAGAUUAAAAUAAUUUUAAUUUAUUAUUUUGUGUAAAAUUUGCAGUUUUUUUUUUUAAAUUCAGUUUGAAUAUGCAGGUGGAGGAAGCUCGACUUAACUCCUGCCUGGGAGGUGCCAAACUUAGGGGCCGUUUGUUUUUUUUUACUUAAUGACUUAAUUGACUUAAUUUUAAUUAGUUAAGUCAUUAAGUCUGUUUGUUUUUUCAACUUAAUAAAAAAUUUUAACCAUUAAGUCAUUAAAUUAUUAAGCUAUUUUUUUUAACUUUAUACUUAAUCUAAAAGUCUGAAUGAUAUCAUUACAAAAUAUUCUCCAAAACAUCCCUAUGUAAUUAAUUAAUUUUCAUCCUUACCUAAAUAAAACAUAAUAAUUAGCAAUAUUAUCCAUCUCUAUAUAACUUGUGUAAUAUAUAGUGGUAGUUUGGUAGAUUAUUAUGAUUUUUAUCUUUUUUUAUUUUCUUCAAAUUAGCAUUAUUUAUCUCCAUAAUGUUUUACAAAAAUUUUCAUAUAAAAACAUCAAAAACCA